This 494-nucleotide ribosomal RNA is filed under the name uncultured bacterium. Its description in RNAcentral is "partial 16S ribosomal RNA". It matches the Rfam family "Bacterial small subunit ribosomal RNA", at positions 28 to 507 of the family's 1533-position model. The record is from RNAcentral.
GACGAACGCUGGCGGCGUGCUUAACACAUGCAAGUCGAACGGUGAAGCGCCUUCCUUUUUGGUGGGUGUGUAUGAGUGGCCAACGGGUUAGUAACACGUUAGUAACCUUCCCCCUUUUUUUUGAUUACCGCAUGAAAGAGGUGCUAAUAAGGGAUAUUUUGGGUCUGUUGCAUGAUUGGUUUGGGAAAGAUUUUGUUUCGGUGGGGGAUGGGCUCGCGGCCUAUCAGCUUGUUGGUGGGGUGAUGGCCUACCAAGGCGGUGAGGGGUAGCCGGCCUGAGAGGGUGGACGGUCACACUGGGACUGAGACACGGCCCAGACUCCUACGGGAGGCAGCAGUGGGGAAUAUUGCACAAUGGGCGGAAGGCUGAUGCAGCGACUCCGCGUGAGGGAUGGAGGCCUUCGGGUUGUGAACCUCUUUCGCCAGUGAAGCAGGCCUGCCUCGUUUGUGGGUGGGUUGACGGUAGCUGGAUAAGAAGCGCCGGCUAACUACGUG